This 228-nucleotide long non-coding RNA is filed under the name Felis catus (domestic cat). RNAcentral describes it as "lncRNA (ENSFCAG00000048316.1)". Lineage: Eukaryota; Metazoa; Chordata; Mammalia; Carnivora; Felidae. The record is from RNAcentral.
GUCUUCCGGCCGCGCCUCGAAUCCCGUCAGGCGCAGGAAGGGCGGAGAGCCUCGUGGGCUUCGAGGGGCUCUGCGAGCUCUGCAGUUGAGGCCUUGGUCUGAGGCAGGAGUCCUGAGGUCACAGAGCAGAGGAGGCGCGGCCGCGUGCCAGUCGGUUGUCCAGGCGAGGGUCUGGCGACCAUCAUGCCCCUGCGUCAGAGGAGUGAGCUCUGCAAGGUCGAGGAGGAG